This 113-nucleotide ribosomal RNA is filed under the name Candidatus Schekmanbacteria bacterium. Lineage: Bacteria; Candidatus Schekmaniibacteriota. The record is from RNAcentral.
CCUGGUGGUUAUAGCGGAGGGGAAACACCCGUUCCCAUUCCGAACACGGAAGUUAAGCCCUCCAGCGCUGAUGGUACUGCCCAGUAGGGUGGGAGAGUAGGACGCUGCCAGGA